CCCAACUGACUGUUCAACAUGGCUGCUGUCUGAAUAAGUUUACCUGCCAAUAGGGACUUCACCUGAACAACUCUACUGCUUCCCAAUUCCCAUCCUCUGUGCAAGAGGCUGGACCAACCAACAGGAGACAAAAGCCACACUCCCUCACUGGCUUCCCACCAGAAACUCAUCAAAUCGCAUAACCAAUAUGAUACAGCUGUCAGGGUCUCUGCUGUGGCGGUUGCCAUCUAGCCCGCACCCUCACGUCAACCUGAACCGCUGGACUUGGCCGCCUCCUGCGCGUCCAUCUCCAUUAACUGCUUGCUGAGGCAGGAUGAUGGGAAAUAUGACAUGGGAGCUGCGCCAUGUGUGUGUGUGCAGGUACAUGAACAUGACUGAUAGGUUUGGUGCCACAUUGUGACAGCUGCUGGGACUUCCCAGAGCAGGUGUGCAUUAGACUGAGGGCAUGUUUCUGGAUGUGGGAUGCUUAAGUGGCCAAACGUCCCCUGACAACUGUCCUCUCACCUCACCAUCAGGGCAGGUAUCCUGUCACGCGUCCCUGCUUUCUCUGUUUGCUUAGACAUCCCUGUGGUUGCUCUAGACACAAUUGGUUCUUAUGUAACUUGAGUUUAUGGCGUUACAUAAAAUGCAGAUGGAUAAAUAAAUGUUCACGCUGCAGUGAGCCCUCCACUACACAACAAAAAAUAAGAGGUCACUGAACUGAGUGCUUUAUUCUAUAUUAUAUUAAUGGCAACUCAAAUUACAUAUGUGACUCAUAUCUGCAUGUGCUCUCCUGUUUUUAUCUCAUAAAUUAAUACGA
Molecule: long non-coding RNA, 799 nt
Organism: Epinephelus moara (kelp grouper)
Lineage: Eukaryota; Metazoa; Chordata; Actinopteri; Perciformes; Serranidae
Exons: 3
Source: RefSeq, a predicted model, not a curated record